This 253-nucleotide ribosomal RNA is filed under the name uncultured bacterium. RNAcentral describes it as "partial 16S ribosomal RNA". It matches the Rfam family "Bacterial small subunit ribosomal RNA", at positions 524 to 776 of the family's 1533-position model. The record is from RNAcentral.
UACAAAGGGUGCAAGCGUUAUCCGGAUUCACUGGGGUUAAAGGAAGCGUAGGUGGGGUGGUAAGUCAGUGGUGAAAUCUCCGGGCUUAACUCGGAAACUGCCGUUGAUACUAUCAUUCUUGAAUAUUGUGGAGGUAAGCGGAAUAUGUCAUGUAGCGGUGAAAUGCUUAGAUAUGACAUAGAACACCCAUUGCGAAGGCAGCUUACUACACGAUCAUUGACGCUGAGGCACGAAAGCGUGGGGAGCAAACAGG